AGAGUUUGAUCCUGGCUCAGGACGAACGCUGGCGGCGUGCUUUAUACAUGCAAGUCAAGGAGAACGUUUUCUUCGGAAAACAAGUAAACUGGCGAACGGGUUAGUAACGCGUAGGUAACCUGCCCUUAUGACUGGGAUAACUCUGUGAAAACGGGGCUAAUACCGGAUAAUAUCUACUUUCUCUGGAAUUUAGAUCAAAGUAGGCUUCGGCUUACACAUUAGGAUGGGCCUGCGUCUGAUUAGCUUGUUGGUAAGGUAAUGGCUUACCAAGGCUACGAUCAGUAGGUGGUUCGAGAGGAUGAUCACCAACACUGGGACUGAGAUACGGCCCAGACUCCUACGGGAGGCAGCAGUGAGGAAUUUUGCGCAAUGAGCGAAAGCUUGACGCAGCAACGCCGCGUGAUCGAAGAAGCUCUGCGGAGUGUAAAGAUCUGUCAUAGGGGAAGAAAAAUUCCGUUAUUAACACCAUCGGAACGUGACGGUACCCUAUAAGAAAGCCCCGGCUAACUUCGUGCCAGCAGCCGCGGUAAUACGAGGGGGGCAAGCGUUGUCCGGAUUUAUUGGGCGUAAAGAGUUCGUAGGCGGGUUAGUCAGUCGAAAUUGAAAUCCCACGGCUUAACCGUGGACCCGGUUUCGAUACUGCUAAUCUUGAGUGAGACAGAGGUAAGCGGAAUUCCUGGUGUAGCGGUGAAAUGCGUAGAUAUCAGGAGGAACACCGAAGGCGAAGGCAGCUUACUGGGUCUAUACUGACGCUGAGGAACGAAAGCGUGGGGAGCAAACAGGAUUAGAGACCCUGGUAGUCCACGCCGUAAACGAUGAGUACUUGGUGGUGGAGGAUUCGACCCCUUCACUGUCGGAGCUAACGCGUUAAGUACUCCGCCUGGGAACUACGACCGCAAGGUUGAAACUCAAAGGAAUUGACGGGGACCCGCACAAGCGGUGGAUUAUGUGGUUUAAUUCGAUGCAACGCGAAGAACCUUACCUGGACUUGACAUGUUAGUGAAACUUUGGUGAAAGCCAAAGCCUCUGCGAGCUUGCUCAAGGACACUAUCACAGGUGAUGCAUGGCUGUCGUCAGCUCGUGUCGUGAGAUGUUCGGUUAAGUCCGAUAACGAGCGCAACCCCUAUCCUUAGUUGCCAGCACGUAAUGGUGGGGACUCUAGGGAAACUGCCCGGGAUAACCGGAAGGAAGGUGGGGUCGACGUCAAGUCAGUAUGUCCCUUACGUUCAGGGCUACACACGUAAUACAAUGGGGAGUACAGAGGGUAGCAAUACUGCGAAGUGGAGCCAAUCCCAAAAAACUUCCCCAAGUUCGGAUUGCAGUCUGCAACUCGACUGCAUGAAGCAGGAAUCGCUAGUAAUCGCGCAUCAGCAUGGCGCGGUGAAUACGUUCCCGGGUCUUGUACACACCGCCCGUCACGCCAUGGAAGCCGGUAGCACCCAAUGUCAGUGUCCUAACCUUCGGGGAGGAGCUGCUUAAGGUGAGAUUGGUAACUGGGGCGAAGUCGUAACAAGGUAGCCGUACCGGAAGGUGCGGCUG
This 1539-nucleotide ribosomal RNA is filed under the name marine metagenome. RNAcentral describes it as "bacterial SSU rRNA". It matches the Rfam family "Bacterial small subunit ribosomal RNA". The record is from RNAcentral.